AAUAGAUACCCUGGUAGUUCACGCCGUAAACGAUGGGCACUAGGUGUGGGAGGUGUCGACUCCUCCCGUGCCGUCGCUAACGCACUAAGUGCCCCGCCUGGGGAGUACGGCCGCAAGGCUAAAGCUCAAAGGAAUUGACGGGGACCCGCACAAGCGGCGGAGCAUGCGGAUUAAUUCGAUGCAACGCGAAGAACCUUACCAAGGCUUGACAUACACCAGAACACCCUAGAAAUAGGGGACUCUUUGGACACUGGUGAACAGGUGGUGCAUGGUUGUCGUCAGCUCGUGUCGUGAGAUGUUGGGUUAAGUCCCGCAACGAGCGCAACCCUCGUUCUAUGUUGCCAGCACGUAAUGGUGGGAACUCAUGGGAUACUGCCGGGGUCAACUCGGAGGAAGGUGGGGAUGACGUCAAAUCAUCAUGCCCCUUAUGUCUUGGGCUUCACGCAUGCUACAAUGGCCGGUACAAAGGGCUGCAAUACCGUGAGGUGGAGCGAAUCCCAAAAAGCCGGUCCCAGUUCGGAUUGAGGU
Molecule: ribosomal RNA, 528 nt
Filed under: uncultured bacterium
Lineage: Bacteria
Description: bacterial SSU rRNA
Rfam family: Bacterial small subunit ribosomal RNA
Source: RNAcentral